This 96-nucleotide transfer RNA is filed under the name Streptomyces chromofuscus. RNAcentral describes it as "tRNA-Arg". The record is from RNAcentral. Lineage: Bacteria; Bacillati; Actinomycetota; Actinomycetes; Kitasatosporales; Streptomycetaceae.
GUGGCCUCUGGGGGAACGGUCCCAGUCCGCCUCCGGCGCGCACAGGGCCCUCGGCGGGGGUGCCGGGGGCCUCGAUCGCGAUGCCGGGAGCCUACG